UACCCCAGGCUGCAGGCAGCGCUAAACCGCAGCCCCACCGGGGCUGCCCAAAAGUUGCUAUUUAAAGACAAAGUAUAAAGGAAUUUAGAAGAUGGAAAUGGGAAUAGGAGAGCUAGCACAGCCCUCAGAGAAGACAUGCUCAAAAAUAGUGAUAGGCACAGAGGCUAGCGGCUAAUUGUGGAGCCCAGCAAACGAGGUCCAGUCUGUGAUGAGGUAAAAACGGAAAGAAAACCUGGGUAGAAACAAAUUGUGAGAAAGGGUAAUGGAACCUCCAUGCAUUCAGUGCCUACAAAAUGCCAGGCACAGUGGAUUUACAUACAUCUCGAUAUCCUUGUAAUGACUAAAUAGAUGAGGUUCAUUCCUGUUCACAGUUGAAUUAAGGCUUAAAGAGUAACUUAGGUCACAUACUACCUAGUGAAUAUGGGUCAGGAUUUAAAAUUUAAGCUGACUCUAGAACUUUAUACCCUGCCACACCAUAUUCCUCAGAUGUCCAUAAAAGUAAGGUUUCUAAGCCAGUGUGUGGUUCUCUUUUACAACCUAGAGAGGCAUAUAAGUGAAGAUGUGAGAUUCUUUCUGUAAUGAACUGUAUGCACCCCAAUUUGACACCACAAGGCUCAUGGGAAGCCUGUGGUCUCUGUGUCCAAGGGUGGUUCCUUGAAUCCAUGCAAUUUAUUGUCUCAGUAUCUUUGUUUAUGCUUUCUGUUGUGUCAGGAAUCUUUUUCUACUUUUCCUGGUGAAUUCCUGCCCAGAUCAGGUAUCAGCUCUCCCUGGAAGCCUUUCUGGAACUUUCUGGAACUCCCACCCACUCCCCUACCCUCAAAGACAUUUGUACUGCUAUCAUUUGUGCAUAUGUCUAUCAUUGCACCUACUACAUUGGAUUUUGAAUUGCAGUAGCCCAUCCAUAUCUCUGUCUUCCCCAAGAUAUAAGUUCUUUCAGGACAGGAAAUGAUCUUUCCAGUAGCAGAGUGCCUCAGUCAUGGUAGCCACUCAGUUAUUGUAUGAGUGUUUUUGGCUAAAGACAGUGCUGACCUUUUCUCUAAUCAAAUUGAUCUAUUAAUUAAGAGUUUACAUGUGUCUAGAAGCGCCUGACUGGCUCAGUCAGUAGAGUGGGUGACCCUUGAUCUCGGGGUCAUGAGUUUGAGCCCCACAUUGGGUAUAGUGUUUAUUUAAAAAUUAAAAUUAAAAAAAAUAAAAAUUAAAAAAAUUUAAAUUUAAAAAGUGUACAUUUUUAGAAUUCUUGCACCCUGGUGUUUUCUUGGUUGUUAAUUUUCAGGCUUUUAGAUUCUUUUCCUUAAUUAGUUCACACUUUUUUGGAAGUAUAUUUUGCUAGUCAGUUGACUUUUUUAUCCUUUAAAGAUUCAUUAUUUCUUUGCUUUAAUUGGAGUUAUCAAAAUUACCUACCUUUUGGUAUCACUGAAUUCUUUCAUGUGUACUUCACCAUUUUGCUUUAGUUUCUAUAGAACCCACUGGCAGAGUAGAUGACCAGCCAAGUAGGUGAUUCCCUAUGUAGGUGUUAUAUGGAGGGCCUUUUAUUGAAUUGCAGAUUCCUAUUCUAGGAAUAACAUUUUGUCCAUUUAUUCAAGAAAUAUUACCUAUCAUUAUCCAAGCACUAUUGCAAUUCCUAGGAUUAUCCAGUCUCUGCCUUCAUAUACCUCAUUGUGCAGUAUGGGAGACAGAAAAAAACAACUUGGAAUUUUACCACUGAUGACUUCUAGUGAGAAAUGCAAGUGUUCAGGAGUUGCUUCAGGAGCAUGGAGAGGCUGGUGAUCAGAAGGCUACAUAUGAAUUAGGAACAUACAAGAAGUGGGUAAAGGAUCUUCUUGACAGAAGAAAUAAAUAGCAUUUGCAAAGUAGAAACAGGAUAAUCCUUUGUACAUUGUACAUUGAAUUAGAUCCACACACUUCUCAACCCAGAUCUCAGAAUUAGACACAUGUUGGAAUUGGGGAGGGGUAGAGCAUCAGGUCACUGAGAAUCUGCAGCAAGGGAAAAGAGGUGAUCAUGACCCCCAUUUCUUAAAAAAGAUUUUAUUUAUUUAUUCGUGAGAGACACAGAGAGAGAGAGAGGCAGAAACAUAGGCAGAGGGAGAAGCAAGCUCCAUGCAGGAAGCCCGAUGUGGGACUUGAUCCCGGGACCCCGAGAUCACACCAAAGCCUAAGGCAUGCACUAAACCCCUGAGCUACCCAAGUGUCCCCAUGACCCCUAUUUUUGACAGUUUUGAGUACAGUUACACAUGGAUUUGUAGAAGAAAGAUACAUUCCUAUACUCUGUGAGUUUAAAAUCUAAUUUUACGCAUACUUUGAAAACUAGACACAAAUUAUUUAGUUCUACCUCUGUGAAGAUAGGCCAGCACAAGCACUUUAGGCUUACUGUGCACUGCUGUUACCGUGUAGACUUACCGUUUAUCUUGAUACGGAAAUGUUUAUUUGGAAAACAGUUUGGAGCCUAGUUGAGGCUAAAACCUGAGUACUUUCUCAUGUAUUUGUCAGUGUGUUAAAAAUUUAAAAAGCAGGGGUGCCUGACUAGCUCCGUUGGUGAAGCAUGCAACUCUUGAUCUGGAGUCCUGAGUUCUAGUCCAAUGGUGGUGUAGAGAUUACUAAGAAAAAAUAAAUAAACUUAAAUAUAUAUGUAUGUACAUAUUUUUAUAUAAAAUAUAUAUUAUAUAAAUAUACAUUUAUGCUUUAUAUAUGCCUAUAUAAUAUAUAAAUUAUAUAAUGUAUAAAAUAUAUAAAUAUGUAAAAUUUUUACAAGAGUAUAAAUAUGUAUAAUUUAUAUAUUUUGUAUGUAAUUUUAUAUGUAAUUUUAUAUAUAGUAUAUAAAAUAUAUACAUAUGUAUAUAUAUAAGCAGUGAAUACUUAAGGGGAAUUUAAAAAUUGAGGAAGUCUUUGUUUUUUAAUUUGCAACUAGGUGUGACAUUUACAGAUUUUUUUUUCCUAACACAUUCAUUCUCAUUCUCUUUUAUGAGAUUUAUUUAAAUUACUUCUAUACUGUGUAGAUGAGGAAAUUGAGACACAGAUCUGGCUUAGGUCACAUAGCAAAGGAUUGGAAGUCAUAAACAGGAAUUCAGACCUGGUAUUCUAUCCAGCAGUCUUUUGCUGGCUUAUACUGCUUAAAGAUAACUGUGUUUUCUAUUUUGGUUUCAAAUGUUUUCUCUUAGCUUUUGUUUUUUCUUAUAAAGAAAAUAAUACAAAAAAAAAAAAGAAAAUAAUACAUAGUCAUCAUAAAAAUUUCAGAAAAUGUAGAAAAGAAUGAAGAGUGUAAAGCUAUAUUCCUCUGUAUAUGUAUUAUCUAUAUUCCCAAUGCCUAGAAAUCACUGCUAAUAUUUUAGUAUAUCUAUUUUCAAACUUGUUUAAAUUUAUAUAUAUAUACACACACACAGAGAUAUAUUUAGAUAGUUUCUUUUUCAAGGUUUUAUUUUUAUUUAUUUGAGAAAGAGUGCUUGGGUGCCAGCAGGGGGAGGAGCAGAGGGAGAGGGACAAGCAGACUGUGCUGAGCACAAAGCCCUAGAGAGGGCUCCAUCCCACCAUCCCAAGAUCAUGACCUGAGCCAAAAUCAAGAGUUGGAUGCCUAACCAACUGAGCCACCCAGGUGCCCCUAGAUAGUUUUUUUUUUUUUUUUUUAAUGAAAUCACAGAUAUAUUGUAGGUAGGGUUUUUUUUGUUUGUUUCAGUAAAAUCAAACUGCCUAAUUUUGUAAAAUUUCAUCUCAAAUAUAAUUUAAUGUCAAAUAUCUGCAUCAUAAUUUUAGUUGCUUCCUAGAAUUGUACUGUGUGAAUUAUUUGGUUAGACUCCUAUAGACAGACUUUUAGGUUUCCAGUUUUUUUUUCUAUUAUAAAAAAUGUGUUGAUAAGAUCCUUAAUAUAUGCAUCUUUUUACCCUUUUCUGAUUAUCUUGUUAAGAAAAAUGUUCAGG
RNAcentral lists this long non-coding RNA (3908 nucleotides) under Canis lupus familiaris (dog). Its description in RNAcentral is "lncRNA (ENSCAFG00845019623.1)". The record is from RNAcentral. Lineage: Eukaryota; Metazoa; Chordata; Mammalia; Carnivora; Canidae.